CACCUUGGGUGUGUGUUCUGGUCGACAUUUUCCAGAGGAGCAAAGGAACUCCUUUGUUCAACCCUAACUUGUCUAAAUCCAAGAAAUUGAGAGGCCAAAUCAGUCCCAAAUUGAAAUCCAAGCUCGGAUUAGUGAUCAACUAAGUGAAGGUAUCACAAGGUAUGUUAAAUUUCAUCUGUUGGUGGAGGCUUGGGAAAGAAGCGGUCAAACGAAUCAAGCACGAGAAGAAAGGCGUAUUCGGGAUGCGAGAUAAGUAAAGCUUACACUUUUUUUUUUGUAAUACCUAUAGGUUUUAUAGGUCAUGAUGAAUAUAAAGUCUUGCUUGAAUUAUGAUGUUCCGACACGACAUGUGCGGUUCGGAACAAAAGACAAUGUUAAUAAACCAUGUUCAAUGGCUAAAAAAAGGAGCUAAUGCGGUUAAUUAGUCAUGAAAUGACUAAAAGAUAACGAGUUUUUAAAUGGUUACCUUAUAAGGUAAACCAUUGCAAAUAAUAAGGGUAAAACGGUAUUUUGGUCACUUGUUGAUAAUAACCGUUAGUUGUGAAAGACACUUUAUAGCGUAAGUUAUAAUGGGUCAAAAGAAUCAAUAAAUGAUUUAUAAGUAAAAAGACUAUACGGUGUAAACCGGAGCGAGUCAUAUAGAUAAGAUGGUGAUAAAUAUCAUCUCAUAAAGAUUCAUGGUCAUUUAGUCCAAACGGGUCAAAAGGUGAAAAUAUCACCCUUUGAUAAUAUUGACUAAUGGUUUGUCGAGUUGUGUGAUUCAGGAAUAAAUAGCACAUGGAUGUUUACAUCGCUAUUACUUAGCGGCCACUAAGGCAAGGUAUCGAAACGGAUCUAUAUAUUGAUCCGAGCCAGGUUUGUAUAACGAUUUAACUCAGCAUGUAGAACUUGAGGUGCUAUAAGAGUUAGACACGGAUAAAAUAUAGGUAUUCGGUUAUCUUUGAGCUAAACCGAAUAAAUUGAGUUAUGAUUAUAGUGUUUUAGAAAUAUAAUGGUUUCUAAACAAGAUUAUAGUUUUAAAAGUGGGAUUUUGGUCGAACAUGGCUUUAAAAGUCCUUCGUCGUAAUAGGAGGGGUAAAAGUGACCAAAAUGCCCUUAUAAGUGAAAUUGAGAAAACGACCCUUAAAUGUCGUUUAUAAAUGAGUUUUGUGAUCAAAUAGAUACUUGGAAUACGUAUAAAAAGUGAAAUAUGCGAAUCUUUGGGUCAAAUGACUCUAUAUGAGCCUUUGCCGUAAAAUGAUAAUCCGAGGGGUAAAACUUGGAAUAAAUAUAUCUCCACAUUAAAUCCUCCACACAUAAAGUUGUGGUGGAAGAUAAAUUGAUAAAUAAUGUGUAAGUACAAUACUAGAAGUGAAUGGGUAUGAAUUAUACGGUAAAAGUGCUUAAAUACCCUUAACGGGUCAAAAUAAGCUUCUAAGUCAAAACGGGUUAAAUAAGGUAUAUAAACCCGUGAUUUUGAGCCUAAUAUGAUAUGAGAUAUUGAAAUUAUGAAGUUCGUGAGUUUAAAGAUCAAAUAAACAUGUUUGUAUGAUAAAAUCACAAACGGGUCAAAAUUUUGGUAAAAAGGGUAAUAAGCCGAAGACUUAAAAGUCUUAAAUUUUGUUAAUCCGGAUGUUGGAUUUUAACUCCAUAUGAUGGAGAAUUUAAUUACGAACGCGUAGGAAAAAGAAUCGCGUAAAACGGACUUGUAUAGUGAAAGUUAUGCAAGUUCUAAGUUAAUAUUUGGUGAAUUUUCGUAGCUGGGCAAAGUGCAGCAACAAUAAAGGAACUUGCUGUCAAAAAAGGGGCUAGGUGGGGCGUCUAGCCCCCCCCCCCCCCGAAUCCCAAAAUUGUUUAAUUUUGUUUGUUUGACCCACAUAACUUGUUUAAACUUGUUAUUUAACUUUCAAAAUUAACUUUUAAGUUGGUUUUGAUCAUAGGUGAAUGUCAAGAGUGCCCGGAUGAAGAUCAAGCUCGAUGAGGAACCGAACACGAUAAAAUACAAGCUUCCGCGCGGCGUUUCGUCGUAUCUUUUAAACGACGAAUUCAAUUACAUUAAGUUGUAUAUUCUUUUAAAUUGUAAAAGUUUUAACUAACCUUAUCUAUCAAAAUUACAUGUUUGUUUUCGUAAACUAUACGAAAACUGUAAAAUAAUAACAAGGGUGUUAUAAGAUCAAAUUAACUUUUAUU
This 2169-nucleotide long non-coding RNA is filed under the name Helianthus annuus (common sunflower). RNAcentral's name for it is "hypothetical non coding rna". Lineage: Eukaryota; Viridiplantae; Streptophyta; Magnoliopsida; Asterales; Asteraceae. The record is from RNAcentral.